Bufo bufo (common toad) is the source of this 360-nucleotide long non-coding RNA. RefSeq lists it as uncharacterized. The record is from RefSeq and is a predicted model, not a curated record. Lineage: Eukaryota; Metazoa; Chordata; Amphibia; Anura; Bufonidae. The transcript has 3 exons.
GGAUCGCCCAGUCACGUGCAGAUAAUCACAUCCUAAUUGCAGCUCCCAGAUAUGCCACGGAUCAACCUAUGUCUUUGAUGGAAAGGAUGUCCAACUAAACGUUCAUCGCCACGCCACACCUUACCACAUCACGGCGCACAGUCAACUCCCCGAAGAAUCAAACCGAAGGAUGGAGCAUCAUCAUGGAGGCAAUGACACCCAAGGAGCACCACAAUCGACGAGGGCAAGCUGAGGAAACCGAAGAUUCAGCAAGAGAUUCAAAGAACACAGGGGACAUAUUACAGAGAGGAGGGAACUGUCGUGGAAAGUUUUAUUAAGCAUAGGAUGACUAUAGUGGACUUGCUUUUUAGCUUAGGAAUG